RNAcentral lists this ribosomal RNA (427 nucleotides) under uncultured Acidobacteriota bacterium. Its description in RNAcentral is "bacterial SSU rRNA". It matches the Rfam family "Bacterial small subunit ribosomal RNA", at positions 958 to 1385 of the family's 1533-position model. The record is from RNAcentral. Lineage: Bacteria; Pseudomonadati; Acidobacteriota.
AACGCGAAGAACCUUACCUGGGCUUGAACCGCACAGGACCAUCUUUGGAAACAGAGACUUCCCGCAAGGGACCUGUGUAGAGGUGCUGCAUGGCUGUCGUCAGCUCGUGCCGUGAGGUGUUGGGUUAAGUCCCGCAACGAGCGCAACCCUUACUCAUAGUUGCUACCUGCAAGGGAGAACUCUAUGAGGACUGCUCCGGAUAACGGAGAGGAAGGUGGGGAUGAGGUCAAGUCAGCAUGGCCUUUAUGUCCAGGGCUACACACGUGUUACAAUGCGCACCACAAAGCGUCGCAAACCCGCGAGGGGGAGCUAAUCGCAAAAAAGUGCGCUCAGUUCGGAUUGCAGUCUGCAACUCGACUGCAUGAAGCUGGAAUCGCUAGUAAUGGCGCAUCAGAACGGCGCCGUGAAUACGUUCCCGGGCCUUGUA